Molecule: ribosomal RNA, 253 nt
Filed under: uncultured bacterium
Lineage: Bacteria
Description: partial 16S ribosomal RNA
Rfam family: Bacterial small subunit ribosomal RNA
Source: RNAcentral
UACAGGGGGUGCAAACGUUGCUCGGAAUCAUUGGGCGUAAAGCGCACGUAGGCGGUUCGUUAUGUCGGAUGUGAAAGCCCUUGGCUUAACCGAGGAAGUGCAUCCGAAACUGGCGAGCUAGAGUACGAAAGAGGAUCGCGGAAUUCCCGGUGUAGAGGUGAAAUUCGUAGAUAUCGGGAGGAACACCAAUGGCGAAGGCAGCUUGCUGGGACGGUACUGACGCUGAGACGCGAAGGCGUGGGGAGCAAACAGG